CUCUCAGCCAUCAUUUUUUAUGCGCCUAAAUUGGAUUUUAUAUCGGAGUGGAGGUGGAUGUGUACAACACCAAGAAGAAAGCGUUUCCGACCCUAUAUGGUAUAUAUAUUCUUGAUCAGCAUCAAUAGCCGAGUCGAUACUAUAAGAGGUAGAGAAACCAUUAGCUGGAAAGAGGUUACAAUAACUGCAAAUUUAGAACAACAAUUAGAACAUAACUAACAUAAAAAAAAGAAAAAUUAAAUCAAAAAUUUUUCGUUUUGCAGCACGUAUAGUAUGAACUUCGCAACAUUCUUCGCCGGAAUGAGGCAGAAAUGGCUGAAUCGCAUAUCAUGGUACAGCACUCGACAAAAUGGGGUGCCGCACAAUGCACCCUCCAUUCUCGCAGCUGUUGGCUCACGCACACACACAAAACUACAACAAAAAACAAUAUGCGAACAGGUGCACAGAAAGCAAAGAAAGAUGUCGUGCAGCUAGAGGGAAAAUUCGAUACGAAAUAACUGUAAACAAACAAAACGUCCCUUUGCUUGUUGUUUUUGGGGAGGUUCUGCUUAUGCGUAGAAUGUACAUACGCAUACAUACAUACAGAUGUACAUACCCAGCGGACCAAAAAACGAUAGUAAAACGAAACUUACAUAAAAUGUUCGCGAACGGACUAAGAAAUGAUACAAAUCCGAGAGCGAUGACUCAAGUCUCGCUAAAUGUUCGCAGACGGACUCUGCAAAGAGCAUUUAGCGGAUGAGAAUUUCCCAAACACCCAGCAGUCAUCUAUCUUAGGCAAAGUAAAUAAAUUGUAUAUAAAAAAUUGACCUUAUUUUAAAUAAAGUUCAUCACAAGACAGCGAAAAUUGUGGCUCUUCGCUUAGAAAUUUCAGAUACAAAGUCAAAGCUUUGUGAAACCCAUAUGAACCAUUCCAGACAAUCGACGAACGGGACAGCUUUGAACAGAGUUUGCUGGAAGAGAGGGACUUUAAAAAUGGGAUCUCAGAGCUUUAGAUGUCCAGCGAGGAAGCGUUCGACCAAAGGAUUCGUAGCUCUUGGCACCAUCUUUAUUGCGGACAAGGUCGCACGACAGUGUUCUUGGCGUGGCACAGAGGCCAGGAAGUGUAUUAGGGGCUUGGGCGUUGCCCUAGCAAUCCGUAGUAAAUAUUAUUUUAAAAUUGUGCACAAUCGCAAUUGUGAUAUCGCUUACGAAGUUUUUGUCCACUGGGUAGUAUGAAUUUGGAGGGGUGUGUGUGUGUUUGCAAAGGCUUUUUCGCCGUUAGCGGGGCUUACAGCAUCCAUCCCUUGCUUUCUAUGGAGCAGGAACGACGACCAACAUACCAUCGCAGUAUAUGUAUGUACAUGAGUGCUCCCUUCUCUCUCUCUCACCCUCUCCUGUGUAUUUCUCUCCCCAAAUAACAAUGAAAGUGCGAUUGCCUGCCAUAAAAAUGUCUAUUAAGCUGUCAAGUUUUGACACUCAUAAAACCAUCAAACAAGUCAAACGAACAGGUUCACAGCAAAAUGUGUACGUUGAACUGCUGUCAACAUUUUUCGGUUCAUCCUGGCGGCUUUCUGCCGCCUGCACACACAGAUGGAGGCACACUCACUUGGAGGCUGUGUGUCGUAGGCCGUUCAUAUUUUGUCCCGUCCCCAAAUGCUGGGAGACAUAUUUAUGGGAAGUAGCAGGAUAGGACACCCUGUGCGAACUGUUCGUCAGGAGAGAGCAGGACAGGAAGAUUGCUGAAGGGAGGAAGUCAUUAUACGAUUUUUAGUCCCAAACUUGUGAUGGCGUAAAGGGGCCCCGACAGGCCCCCAUCCUCAUCCUUAAUAAAUUCGCCGCCAUGUGGUUGCAAUUCUACUGCAUUGC
Long non-coding RNA from Drosophila miranda, 1845 nucleotides. RefSeq lists it as uncharacterized. The record is from RefSeq and is a predicted model, not a curated record. NCBI's taxonomy places the organism in Eukaryota, Metazoa, Arthropoda, Insecta, Diptera, Drosophilidae. The transcript has 3 exons.